GCAUAUCAAUAAGCGGAGGAAAAGAAACUAACAAGGAUUCCCCUAGUAACUGCGAGUGAAGCGGGAAAAGCUCAAAUUUAAAAUCUGGCGGUCUUUGGCUGUCCGAGUUGUAAUCUAGAGAAGUGUUAUCCGCGCUGGACCGUGUACAAGUCUCCUGGAAUGGAGCGUCAUAGAGGGUGAGAAUCCCGUCUUUGACACGGACUGCCAGGGCUUUUGUGAUGCGCUCUCAAAGAGUCGAGUUGUUUGGGAAUGCAGCUCAAAAUGGGUGGUAAAUUCCAUCUAAAGCUAAAUAUUGGCGAGAGACCGAUAGCGAACAAGUACCGUGAGGGAAAGAUGAAAAGAACUUUGGAAAGAGAGUUAAACAGUACGUGAAAUUGCUGAAAGGGAAACGCUUGAAGUCAGUCGCGUUGUCCGGGGAUCAACCUUGCUUUUGCUGGGUGUACUUUCCGGUUGACGGGUCAGCAUCAAUUUUGACCGCUGGAUAAAGGUUUUGGGAAAGUGGCUUCCUCGGAAGUGUUAUAGCCCAGGGUCGCAUACAACGGUUGGGAUUGAGGAACUCAGCACGCCGAAAGGCCGGGUACUUGUACCACGUUCGUGCUUAGGAUGCUGGCAUAAUGGCUUUAAUCGACCCGUCUUGAAACACGGACCAAGGAGUCUAACAUGCCUGCGAGUGUUUGGGUGGAAAACCCGAGCGCGUAAUGAAAGUGAAAGUUGAGAUCCCUGUCGCGGGGAGCAUCGACGCCCGGACCAGACCUUUUGUGACGGAUCCGCGGUAGAGCAUGUAUGUUGGGACCCGAAAGAUGGUGAACUAUGCCUGAAUAGGGUGAAGCCAGAGGAAACUCUGGUGGAGGCUCGUAGCGAUUCUGACGUGCAAAUCGAUCGUCAAAUUUUGGGGUAUAGGGGCGAAAGACUAAUCGAACCAUCUAGUAGCUGGUUCCUGCCCGA
RNAcentral lists this ribosomal RNA (945 nucleotides) under Psilocybe semilanceata. RNAcentral describes it as "LSU rRNA". It matches the Rfam family "Eukaryotic large subunit ribosomal RNA", at positions 38 to 965 of the family's 3401-position model. Lineage: Eukaryota; Fungi; Basidiomycota; Agaricomycetes; Agaricales; Agrocybaceae. The record is from RNAcentral.